This 506-nucleotide ribosomal RNA is filed under the name uncultured bacterium. RNAcentral describes it as "partial 16S ribosomal RNA". It matches the Rfam family "Bacterial small subunit ribosomal RNA", at positions 29 to 523 of the family's 1533-position model. The record is from RNAcentral.
AGUGAACGCUGGCGGUAGGCCUAACACAUGCAAGUCGAACGGCAGCACAGGAGAGCUUGCUCUCUGGGUGGCGAGUGGCGGACGGGUGAGGAAUACAUCGGAAUCUACUCUGUCGUGGGGGAUAACGUAGGGAAACUUACGCUAAUACCGCAUACGACCUACGGGUGAAAGCAGGGGAUCUUCGGACCUUGCGCGAUUGAAUGAGCCGAUGUCGGAUUAGCUAGUUGGCGGGGUAAAGGCCCACCAAGGCGACGAUCCGUAGCUGGUCUGAGAGGAGGAUCAGCCCCAAUGGAACUCAGACACGGUCCAGACUCCUACGGGAGGCAGCAGUGGGGAAUAUUGGACAAUGGGCGCAAGCCUGAUCCAGCCAUACCGCGUGGGUGAAGAAGGCCUUCGGGUUGUAAAGCCCUUUUGUUGGGAAAGAAAUCCAGCUGGCUAAUACCCGGUUGGGAUGACGGUACCCAAAGAAUAAGCACCGGCUAACUUCGUGCCAGCCGCCGCCGUAA